Molecule: non-coding RNA, 72 nt
Organism: Heligmosomoides polygyrus
Lineage: Eukaryota; Metazoa; Nematoda; Chromadorea; Rhabditida; Heligmosomidae
Source: Rfam
AGCGCCGGCGGUGUAAGGCGAACAUCGCUGCCCGGAAAGCAGAAGAUGCGGGUUCGAGUCCCGCCGGUGCAA